This 22-nucleotide non-coding RNA is filed under the name Arabidopsis thaliana (thale cress). Lineage: Eukaryota; Viridiplantae; Streptophyta; Magnoliopsida; Brassicales; Brassicaceae. RNAcentral also lists the same sequence under 3 other names. The record is from RNAcentral.
GAUUUCUGCCCAGUGCUCUGAA